Molecule: ribosomal RNA, 393 nt
Filed under: uncultured bacterium
Lineage: Bacteria
Description: partial 16S ribosomal RNA
Rfam family: Bacterial small subunit ribosomal RNA
Source: RNAcentral
CUACGGAGGAUGCAAGCGUUAUCCGGAUUUAUUGGGGUUAAAGGGUGCGUAGGCGGGACUGUAAGUCAGGGGUGAAAUACUGCAGCUUAACUGUAGCAUUGGCUUUGAAACUGCCGUUCUUGAGUCCAGUUGAGGCAGGCGGAAUGAGGUGUGUAGCUGUGAAAUGCAUAGAUAUACCACAGAACGCCGAUUGCGAAGGCAGCUUACUAAGCUGGUACUGACGCUGAGGCACGAAAGCGUGGGGAUCAAACAGGAUUAGAUACCCUGGUAGUCCACGCUGUAAACGAUGAUUACUGGUUGUUAGCGAUAUAUAGCUAGUGACUGAGCGAAAGCAUUAAGUAAUCCACCUGGGGAGUACGGCGGCAACGAUGAAACUCAAAUGAAUUGACGGGG